Molecule: ribosomal RNA, 253 nt
Filed under: uncultured bacterium
Lineage: Bacteria
Description: partial 16S ribosomal RNA
Rfam family: Bacterial small subunit ribosomal RNA
Source: RNAcentral
UACGAAGGGGGCUAGCGUUGCUCGGAAUCACUGGGCGUAAAGCGCACGUAGGCGGAUCUUUAAGUCAGGGGUGAAAUCCUGGAGCUCAACUCCAGAACUGCCUUUGAUACUGAGGAUCUUGAGUCCGGGAGAGGUGAGUGGAACUCCGAGUGUAGAGGUGAAAUUCGUAGAUAUCGGGAGGAACACCGGUGGCGAAGGCGGCGAUCUGGGUAGAUACUGACGCUGAGGUGCGAAAGCGUGGGGAGCAAACAGG